Molecule: ribosomal RNA, 439 nt
Filed under: uncultured bacterium
Lineage: Bacteria
Description: partial 16S ribosomal RNA
Rfam family: Bacterial small subunit ribosomal RNA
Source: RNAcentral
CUACGGGAGGCAGCAGUGGGGAAUCUUAGACAAUGGGGGAAACCCUGAUCUAGCCAUGCCGCGUGAGCGACGACGGCCCUAGGGUUGUAAAGCUCUUUCAGCAGGGAAGAUAAUGACGGUACCUGCAGAAGAAGUCCCGGCUAACUCCGUGCCAGCAGCCGCGGUAAUACGGAGGGGACUAGCGUUGUUCGGAAUUACUGGGCGUAAAGCGCGCGUAGGCGGAUUGUUAAGUCGGGGGUGAAAUCCCGGGGCUCAACCCCGGAACGGCCCACGAUACUGGCAGUCUUGAGGUCGAGAGAGGUGAGUGGAAUUCCGGGUGUAGAGGUGAAAUUCGUAGAUAUUCGGAGGAACACCAGUGGCGAAGGCGGCUCACUGGCUCGAUACUGACGCUGUGGUGCGAAAGCGUGGGGAGCAAACAGGAUAAGAUACCCGAGUAGUC